UCUUUUCCGUGUUAACUCAAAUAAAGCAUAAUCUCUCCAUCUUCCUCGCGAUUUCUUCUACCGUUGUGCGAUAACGAGUUUUUCACACUUUCAAUGGCGAGUCCAAGUGCUGUAUAUGAAAAUAGGAAAUCAGAUGACCUUGAAAUCGUCUCCGUUGGGGCUCUUUAUAGCGGCUCCUGUGAUAAGAAGUACGGGAGUUCAUCUAGGGGAAAAAAUCAUUUCCCUUAUCCUGUGGGCUAUAAAGCUGUUUGAGCUCACAAUGGGAGCACAUAUUAUAUGGAGAUUGAAGAGGGUGCUAAAGUACCUUUGUUUCUGGUAUGUUGCUGAUUCCCUUUAAAUCUUAUAUAAGGUUGUGCAUACGUUUUUCUUAGAAUGGAGCAGAGUCUUACUUUUCGGGUAUGUUGCUGAUUCCCUUUAAAUCUUAUAUAAGGUAGUGCAUACGUUUUUUUUAGAAUGGAGCAGAGUCUUACUCUAUUGAUGCUGAUACUCCCGACACAAGUUUGGUAAGGAAUCAGUAAUAUUUAAUUAGAUUUUAAGUUUAUUUUAAAUGUUGCAGGAUCAUGUGUUGAGAAUCUCUUUUACUGACCCUUUUUAUUACAAUUUAACAAGAAAUCGCUAUCGCAAGAUCAUGUGUUGAGAAUCUGAAUAUAUUAUACAAAUCAUUAGUUUUAAUCCCCUUUACGGGGCUUUAUAGCGCGCAAGAUAAGGGAAACGAUAUUUUCCCUGAUGAUUACUGGAGUAUUAAAAAGGAUCUCCACCUAUAAAAGGCCGGUUGCUGUUCUUCCACUGUAGAUGUGCAGUUACUCAGAUUCUGGGAAGUUGAUGGGAGUUGUGGAUUCCUUUUCAGUCAAGUCUGUAAUGGAAUUUGUGUCCUCAUGUUAAACUGAUUGUCAUCUAUAGACUGUCAUAACUGUUUUUAUGAUCCAGUUCUUCAUGAUUCUAAAAAAAUGUAGCCUUUUAUAUCUACAUGUGCUUGAAUACGACGGUCUGGUACAUAACAUCGUUCUAGCUUUGUUCUCCCAAGUUAUCUCCUUAUAAAAUACUGAGCAAUUGAAUCUGACAGUAUUGUGAUCAUCUUUCUAGCUCCAACUCUGCUUUGAUUCUAUGGAAAACCGUUUCAUGUGCAGCUCUUCGCACCAGCAAGAGAGGAAUGGCUGUGGCUACACAUGCCGAGCUACUUGCUGCGGAGAACGAGCUACUCGCUGUGGAAGGCACCUCAGUCAUGAAAGGUGCAGUGUAGCUACAGCUAUGGUUGCAAUAAAACAUCACACAUGAAACAAGCCAGAGUGAUCAAAAUUCCAAAAGCAUAAUACUUCGAAAUCCUGGAGUAAUCAUAAAAAUUAUUGUGCUUUUGUUUGGUGUUUAUAGAAAUAGAUGUCAUAUGCAACUGAUGCCAAUAUUAUAGUAUUUUAGAUCACUUAUAAUUAAUAAUAUUUAUUUGGUUUCUACUGCA
This is an RNA transcript of Brassica oleracea var. oleracea, 1453 nucleotides long. RefSeq lists it as uncharacterized. Lineage: Eukaryota; Viridiplantae; Streptophyta; Magnoliopsida; Brassicales; Brassicaceae. The record is from RefSeq and is a predicted model, not a curated record. The transcript has 5 exons.